RNAcentral lists this ribosomal RNA (484 nucleotides) under Glyphidrilus sp. 4 PP-2016. RNAcentral's name for it is "partial 16S ribosomal RNA". It matches the Rfam family "Bacterial large subunit ribosomal RNA", at positions 1830 to 2597 of the family's 2925-position model. Lineage: Eukaryota; Metazoa; Annelida; Clitellata; Crassiclitellata; Almidae. The record is from RNAcentral.
UGCCUCUUGUAAACAUAUAAAAGGUAACUCCUGCCCCGUGAAAAAAAAAUUCAACGGCCGCGGUAUCCUAACCGUGCAAAGGUAGCAUAAUCACUUGUCUAUUAAUUGUAGACUCGAAUGAAAGGAUAAACGAAAUAAGAGCUGUCUCUGCUAGUUUUAUAUAAAUUAUAAUUUAGAUGAAGAUAUCUAAAUAUAAAUGAAGGACAAGAAGACCCUAUAGAGCUUUAUCCAAAAAAGAAAUAAAUCUCUUUAUAAGAUUCGGUUGGGGCGACCAAGGGAGAAUAAUCACCCUUCUAAAUAAGAUCUAUCAAUCUUUACUAUGACCCUUAUUCAAGAUCAUAAGAAUAAGCUACCUUAGGGAUAACAGGCUAAUCCCAUUUAAGAGUCCUUAUCUAUAAUGGGGGUUGGCACCUCGAUGUUGGCUUAGGGUAUCUUUAUGGCGCAAAAGUCAUAAAAAGAUGGUUUGUUCAACCUAUAAUUCCCU